RNAcentral lists this ribosomal RNA (461 nucleotides) under uncultured bacterium. Its description in RNAcentral is "partial 16S ribosomal RNA". It matches the Rfam family "Bacterial small subunit ribosomal RNA", at positions 338 to 795 of the family's 1533-position model. The record is from RNAcentral.
CCUACGGGUGGCAGCAGUGAGGAAUAUUGGUCAAUGGGCGGAAGCCUGAACCAGCCAAGUCGCGUGAGGGAUUAAGGCCCUGCGGGUCGUAAACCUCUUUUGCCGGGGAGCAGAGGUCCGGACGUGUCCGGGCCGGGAGAGUACCCGGAGAAAAAGCAUCGGCUAACUCCGUGCCAGCAGCCGCGGUAAUACGGAGGAUGCGAGCGUUAUCCGGAUUUACUGGGUGUAAAGGGAGCGUAGACGGCUAAUCAAGUCAGAAGUGAAAACCCAGGGCUCAACCUUGGGACUGCUUUUGAAACUGAGUAGCUAGAGUGCAGGAGAGGUAAGCGGAAUUCCUAGUGUAGCGGUGAAAUGCGUAGAUAUUAGGAGGAACACCAGUGGCGAAGGCGGCUUACUGGACUGUAACUGACGUUGAGGCUCGAAAGCGUGGGUAUCAAACAGGAUUAGAUACCCCAGUAGUC